CUGCUGCCUUCCGUAGGAGCUUGGACCGUGUCUCAGUUCCAAUGUGGGGGACCUUCCUCUCAGAACCCCUACGCAUCGUCGGCUUGGUGGGCCGUUGCCCCACCAACUACCUAAUGCGCCGCAUGCCCAUCCGUGACCGGGGUCGCCCCCUUUGGCCGGCAGGGGAUGUCCCCUCCCGGCAUUAUGUUGUAUCAGGCGGGAUUUCUCCCGGUUAUCCAUCUGUCACGGCCAGGUUGCAUACGUGUUACUCACCCGUGCGCCGGUCG
This 266-nucleotide ribosomal RNA is filed under the name uncultured bacterium. RNAcentral's name for it is "partial 16S ribosomal RNA". The record is from RNAcentral.